RNAcentral lists this ribosomal RNA (329 nucleotides) under uncultured bacterium. RNAcentral's name for it is "bacterial SSU rRNA". It matches the Rfam family "Bacterial small subunit ribosomal RNA", at positions 28 to 334 of the family's 1533-position model. The record is from RNAcentral.
GACGAACGCUGGCGGCGCGCCGUAACGACAUGCAAGUCGAACGGAGCUAUUUUGAUAGAGUCCCUUCGGGGUGACGAUUGGCUUAGCUUAGUGGCGAACGGGUGAGUAACACGUGAGGAACCUGCCCUUCAGAGGGGGACAACAGUUGGAAACGACUGCUAAUACCGCAUGAUGCAUGAUCAGGGCAUCCUGGACAUGCCAAAGAUUUAUCGCUGAAAGAUGGCCUCGCGUCUGAUUAGCUAGUUGGUGAGGUAACGGCCCACCAAGGCGACGAUCAGUAGCCGACCUGAGAGGGUGAUCGGCCACAUUGGGACUGAGACACGGCCCAA